GAUGAAGAACGCAGCGAAAUGCGAUAAGUAAUGCGAAUUGCAGAAUUUCCGUGAAUCAUCGAAUCUUUGAACGCACAUUGCGCCCUCUGGUAUUCCGGGGGGCAUGCCUGUUCGAGCGUCAUUAUAACCACUCAAGCUCUCGCUUGGUAUUGGGGUUCGCGGUUCCGCGGCCCCUAAAAUCAGUGGCGGUGCCUGUCGGCUCUACGCGUAGUAAUACUCCUCGCGUCUGGGUCCGGUAGGUCUACUUGCCAGCAACCCCCAAUUUUUACAGGUUGACCUCGGAUCAGGUAGGGAUACCCGCUGAACUUAAGCAUAUCAAUAAGCGGAGGA
This 330-nucleotide unclassified non-coding RNA is filed under the name soil metagenome. RNAcentral's name for it is "partial contains 5.8S ribosomal RNA, internal transcribed spacer 2, and large subunit ribosomal RNA". The stretch from base 1 to 121 matches the Rfam family "5.8S ribosomal RNA", at positions 35 to 154 of the family's 154-position model. The record is from RNAcentral.